This 214-nucleotide non-coding RNA is filed under the name Halalkalibacter hemicellulosilyticus. Its description in RNAcentral is "Bacillus hemicellulosilyticus T-box sequence". It matches the Rfam family "T-box leader". Rfam says of the family: Uncharged tRNA acts as the effector for transcription antitermination of genes in the T-box leader family. T-boxes are found upstream of many aminoacyl-tRNA synthetase genes and some amino acid biosynthetic genes usually in Gram-positive bacteria. The record is from RNAcentral. Lineage: Bacteria; Bacillati; Bacillota; Bacilli; Caryophanales; Bacillaceae.
GUAAAUGCAAAGAAAGAGAGUAGUAGAUCAAAACCCGCCAAUUAGGGAGAAGGUGCCAUAGACUGGAAGCACUUUUUUGGAAUGGCUUGAUUGAAUUCACUCUGGAGCAGACACUCAAAAGGUGUUCCGGUUUAGUCCGUUAGUUCAAUGAAGAUGCUGUUGAGUUUCUUUUUAUACAGCAAUAAGGGUGGUACCGCGAACCUUCGUCCCUUGA